RNAcentral lists this long non-coding RNA (4273 nucleotides) under Anas zonorhyncha (Eastern spot-billed duck). RNAcentral's name for it is "lncRNA (ENSAZOG00000009506.1)". Lineage: Eukaryota; Metazoa; Chordata; Aves; Anseriformes; Anatidae. The record is from RNAcentral.
GGGAUGCCUGAUGCCUUGUACAAGAGAGUGUUAUAGCUUAACUAUAACUCAGUUAAAAAGCAAUUUUCCAUGCAUUUCUGGCCGCAGAUAAAUUUGUUGGACCUGCUUUACUCUUCAGAGAACCCUGCUUCUCGAUAAUGACAGAGGGCUGUUCUUUCCUACUAACACAGCUUCUUGCUAUGCAUUAGUCUGGAAAGCCAGGCUGUGUUCUGCUGGGAAUAAAACCACGAAGCAGGUCACCCACCACACUUGGCAGCCCUCAGUAAACAGCCAGCCCUGCAGAUAAGGGGAAUUUGUUUGAGAUGAGAAUACCAGGUGGAGCGUGGCUGUAAAAGAAAUCGAGUGACCUUUAGGGAAUCGAUCUGGUGCCUGCUGGCAUGGCUGAGAACUUUGGAAAUGUUUUCUUUCAGCUGUGCAUUUGCUUCGUUUCCCCUGCUAAUCUGCCAAGGCCACGCUGGCAUGUUUCUCCUUCAGACCUUCCUCAGUCUCUUCAGAUCUGCUGCGUGGGGGCUAGCAGAGGAAUGCUUUACGAGAUUGAGAAACAAAGGCGAUCCACUUGAGGAAUUUGCAAAGGGAGACACAGCCAAGCAGGAACACAAGCAGAAGAGCUGAAAAACAACCCCAGACAAGCCAGCGUAUGACCUCCGGUGCAUUUCAGAAGAAAAGAGCCUUUCUUUGGUUUGGCUACAGCUGGAGUUGGGUGGUGCCUCGUUUAGAGUAAGUUAUACAGGACUGGGUUACACGUCUCUCUGCUUGCAGCCUCUCCUGCAAGGGCAUUCUCUCGGGCAGGCAGACUGAGCAUCAGAAAUGCAAAUCCCCUCAAGGUGGGGAUGCUUUUUCCAGACUGGUGCAGCUCUCGUUUUGUUAGGAAGCUGAGCUGAGGCCUUCUUUCUCCUUGCUUUUCCUACCCUUGACGGGGGAAGCUGCCUGCCGUCUCUGUCAGGGCUUUGUCGUAAGGAGCUGGCUGACACGAGAUGAAUAACUGCACGUGCUGCACCAGGUGCUCUUCAUGUCCCCAUUUCAGAGGGACUACUGGGAUGGGAAGCCCAGCAGUCACCGAUCAGAAGGUCAGUCAGUGGCUGUGCAUCUGCAGUGUCUGGCAGCCGAGCGGUGUUUUCAUGCCGUGUGAUCCGUGCUGCGUUUGGAUAGAGGGAACCUGAGAGCCCACGGUGGCUCGGCUUGGCGCAGGGUGCAGGCUGGCUGCCACUCUCUCAUCCCGAGGCAGGGAUUUCUCAAGCUGACAAAGUGCAGCUGCCGUUUUUAUGGACUUAACCCUCUGAGCACACAGGGGAGCGAGUGCUCACACAGCAUUUUGGACGCCCAGCUGGGUAACACAGCACGAGGGUCUUGCCCCAGCCCCUUCAAUGUGAGACCACUCCCUCCACCUCACAGGAGGAUGGCCCGUGCAAGCUCCUGGUCUCCUCACAGCAUUAAUUAAGACAAUUAAGCAUUGUCUUAGCCACAGUAAUCCGACAGCAUCACUGUGGCUAAGAUGAGGCCCUCAGAGACCUCUUUCCUCGCUAACAUCUCGCUCUGUCUUCGGAGGGCCGCUUCUCUGCUUCCCUCUCUAGUUUCCUCUAAACAAAUUCCACUCAGAAGACAACUUGCUUGAACAAAAGCUGUGUUUCCUUUCAGUAAUACCAGAACUAAAAAAGGGAAAAAACGAUUAAAAUGCUCACUCAUCCUGGUAUCAACCCCCACCAAGCGCUUCCCUGCUGUCUUUGUGGCUCCUGUUUACCAGUGCUGGGCUGCUACAGCAGGAGGUUUAGGAGCACCGAAGGAUUUGCGUGCAGAGCCAUUCGUUGUCUAAGAAAUCUUGUUGACUUAAAAGUUAGUACAUGCCUGCUGAAUUGCCUGCACGGCCAUAAAGCAUUCAAGUGAGAAUUGUUCUGGUCUCUGGAGCGAAGUUCUCCUGCAGAAGCUGCCUCGGAGGAGCGGAGGGUUCAACAGAUUUAUUUAUUCUUAGCUUGCCUCCUGGUGGGAGCUAACUGCCUGGAGAUGGCUUCAUGGAGAAAGCAGUGCUGGGCUGUGGCCGCCCUCAGCCCAGGAGGGACACCUGUUUCGACCCAUUUCAACCUCCUCCAACUCCUACCUCAGCGACCGAGUGUGCUGUUGAGCGAGGGAGUGGGGCUGGAGAGGGCUGUUGUAUUUCUUCUGGUACAAAAAGGGUUGUCUCCAUAGCGCUGGAGUGUCACUGCACAAACACCGAGGAAUAAAACUCCUGCUGGUAGUGCUCCUGCUUUGCUCUGCCAGGGACCAUAAAGAUGGCAAGCGCAGCAGAUCAUGAGCUCCCUGCUGCCAGUCACUGGGUGCUAGGAAGGAAACCGGGGCCCAAGGGGAUUGCUGUGAACAUUGUGCUCACCAGCAAGGGGGUGUCGGGGUGUUGGUUGGUGCAUGGCAGCUGUCUUCAUCCUGCUUCGGCCCUGUGGGCUCUGCUUUGCUCAGGUUGACCCUGAUGGGUAUCUUUGGAGGGUGAGCUGUCUUCAGCAGGGCAGCAGGGUUUUCUAGCAGUUGUAUGGGGAAUGGGGCUCUGAUCUGUGCUGCAGGAUGCCUUGGGAAAUGGUAAGGACCUUGCUGUAUGGUCUGUCUUGGAGCAGACUAUGGGGCAGUACUUCCCAGCUCUGAAACAUUUUUGCUCUGUGGCCACUUGCCUUGUCCUUUCGCAUCCACAUGUCCUGAAUCUGGUGGGAGGCUGGAACAAACAGGUGCUUUGACAAGACUGCAAUAUCGCCCAGGGUCCCCUUGAUUUGAGAGGACCAUGUAUUUUUCCCAGGAGAGCAGUGCAGGCCAGGGCCAGGGCACAGAGAUGUGGUGGCACCUCCAUCGUUGGGGUCAUCAGCAUCCACAUGGCUGAGGCUUUCGGCAACCUGAACUAUCUUUGAGCAGGACACAGCCCGAGAUCUCUCCACAUCAGAAUUCAUUAAACAUAAAGACAUCACCGUGGCCUCAAAAAGACCCCCAAACCAGAAAUAGCUGGGAGCUAUGAAAACGUUAUAGAAGAUACCCUGAAUAUUUCACCAUCUUCUUAUGCUUUUUUGAGCAUAUUCCUCAUGGGCCUUUUCUCCUCUGUACUUUUCUUUAUAGGUAAAGACUACACAGCAGCAGCAGAGCAAGGAGGAGACGUGUGACUAAUGUGUCGGAGGAGGGCUUGUCUGUAUCCCUGUUCCAGGAGCCCAAGCAUUUCACUGCUCCUUGGUGAGUGCUCGGACUUAACUGUACCAGAGGAACGUGCCAGCUGCAAUUCUUUCCCAACAAAGGCGCUCUAUUCCUCUUUUUAAAUGUCGUGUAAAUGUCAAUAACAAGUCUAUAAACACAGCUAACUGUCUGGCACGCUACCCCUCCAGGGAGGAGGACAGAGACGGGCUGGGCAGCUUCCCAGUGAGGCAGGACCUUGCUGGCUGGAGCACUCAGUCUGAAGCUCUAUCAAAAAGCAACGUGGGCAUAAAUAGGUUUUACUGCAUUAGAGCCAGCCAAAUGUCCCAGUCGAAGCACGUCUGGGGAAACAAGGGGGUAGUUUGGGUGAUGUACAGCCCAGCCCUGAGCUGCUGUCAUGCUGGGAAAGCUCUGUGCUGCUCCCAGGGUGCAGGGUGCUCCUGAGAGCUGGGGCCUUAACGUGACCUCCCUCACUGCUCACAAUUGCCCUUCCCGAGUCCAGACCACACUGGGGCUUGGGGAAGCCACUGUAAAACCAACAUUAUCCCUUGUACUUGGUGUGGGAUGCUUGAUCUGGAAAGAGCGUGACUGUAAGUGAGGGGGGACAGAGGGGAGCAUCACCAAUGCCUGGUGCGCAGUCAGCAGCAGAGCCUCAGUUCCUGGUUAACUGGGUUCGCAGGCUAAGCUGAAACCUGAACUCAAGGACCUUCUUCAGCACACAAAGCCUCAAAAGGAGCUUUUUCAGCCUGUCACCAGCCCUGAGCAGCAAAUGCCGUCAUGCCCUUUGCUCGGACCUACUUUUGACAAUUUUCUGAAACAGCUUUGACCACAUUUUGCCAGGAUGUGGUGCAGGGAUCCCACGUCUUGCCGCUGUCACUACCUCUAGACGCUGCAAUCUGACCUGCUGUAAAGGGGGCUGCCCUGGGGGCAUUGGUUCAGCAGAGCCGUUCCCCUAUAAGACAGCAUCCCUGGGCCAGGGGGAGAGCGUGCUUGGCAAAGGGAGCUGGAUACGGACCUCUCUUUUAUAGGCUGGCCCCCGGGGAGCAGAUUCAGGCAACCUGGCCUUCCCAAGGCCACUAUCAGCCAGGAGCAACAUGACUCGAUUAUCUCUGUUCAGAGG